Molecule: long non-coding RNA, 705 nt
Filed under: Phoenix dactylifera (date palm)
Lineage: Eukaryota; Viridiplantae; Streptophyta; Magnoliopsida; Arecales; Arecaceae
Description: long non-coding RNA (PDAC_LNC019224)
Source: RNAcentral
UUUGGUUAUGUCGGUUAUGAUAUCUGUACCAAUCACCAGAUGUUAGCUGGUGCACAAUGCUACUGCACAAUUGGUAACGGAACUUUUUGAUUUUUUGAUAGAUAUGAUUGUUUGUAAUUGCCUUAAGCAUGCUACCAUGUGUUUUUUCCACACAAUACAAUUUUCUAUUGGCUUCUGUGAUUUGAUGAAAUUAUUGAAUUUUUGAGCUGAUAUGAUCACCUUAUUUAUUAUUUUGCUGUCUGAGAUUUUGAAUGUUUGUAGCUUGUAUUGCUAAAUCAUCUAUUAUGUCCAUCGAAACAUUAGAGAAGUUUUUUUUGGUAUCUCAUCUUUUUUGCUUUCUCCAUUUGCAAGAGAGUUUUGAUCCAUUUGAUGAUGAUAGAGAGAUUUUUUUCUGAGUGAAAAUCUCUGUAACUUGUUGGAGCGAAUCCAUCAUGUUUUGUAUAUUAUAAGUGAAUGUCACAAAGAAAGUCUUUGGAUGUUAAUGUUUUUUUUUGAACGUGCAAUACUUUAAGGAAGUACUUCAACCUAGAAACAGUCUCAUAUUCUAUCGCCUGAGGAAGCAAUGAUGUUGCUGUUACCUUUUGGAAUUGAACAUGAGACAUGCAUAUUCCUUUAUUCUUUUGGUUUUUUAUUUAAACUAAGAAUCAGAGAAGACAUGUUGUUUUCUACCCAGCAACAAGGAGUGGCUAGUGUUAGGUGUGACAA